Bombyx mori (domestic silkworm) is the source of this 85-nucleotide non-coding RNA. Lineage: Eukaryota; Metazoa; Arthropoda; Insecta; Lepidoptera; Bombycidae. The record is from Rfam.
UUAGCCCCGUAUUUGUAUGGAGUUGGAUCGUUUGCCUACGUAUGCCGCUAGGGGCGCUGUUCCAACUCUAUACAAAAUUGAGUUA